RNAcentral lists this ribosomal RNA (761 nucleotides) under uncultured Prevotella sp. RNAcentral describes it as "bacterial SSU rRNA". It matches the Rfam family "Bacterial small subunit ribosomal RNA", at positions 28 to 776 of the family's 1533-position model. The record is from RNAcentral. Lineage: Bacteria; Pseudomonadati; Bacteroidota; Bacteroidia; Bacteroidales; Prevotellaceae.
GAUGAACGCUAGCUAUAGGCUUAACACAUGCAAGUCGAGGGGAAACGGCAUUAUGUGCUUGCACAUUUUGGACGUCGACCGGCGCACGGGUGAGUAUCGCGUAUCCAACCUGCCCUUUACUUGGGGAUACUCCGUUGAAAGACGGCCUAAUACCCGAUGUAAUUCAUUGAUGGCAUCAGAUAUGAAUAAAAGAUUUAUCGGUAAAGGAUGGGGAUGCGUCUGAUUAGCUUGUUGGUGAGGUAACGGCUCACCAAGGCAACGAUCAGUAGGGGUUCUGAGAGGAAGGUCCCCCACAUUGGAACUGAGACACGGUCCAAACUCCUACGGGAGGCAGCAGUGAGGAAUAUUGGUCAGUGGGCGCAAGCCUGAACCAGCCAAGUAGCGUGCAGGAAGACGGCCCUAUGGGUUGUAAACUGCUUUUAUACGAGAAUAAUUUGAUGCACGUGUGCGUUAUUGCAUGUAUCGUAUGAAUAAGGACCGGCUAAUUCCGUGCCAGCAGCCGCGGUAAUACGGAAGGUCCAGGCGUUAUCCGGAUUUAUUGGGUUUAAAGGGAGUGUAGGCGGUUUGUUAAGCGUGUUGUGAAAUUUAGGUGCUCAACAUUUAACUUGCAGCGCGAACUGGCGAACUUGAGUGCACACAACGUAUGCGGAAUUCAUGGUGUAGCGGUGAAAUGCUUAGAUAUCAUGAAGAACUCCGAUUGCGAAGGCAGCAUACGGGAGUGUAACUGACGCUUAAGCUCGAAGGUGCGGGUAUCGAACAGG